This 30-nucleotide non-coding RNA is filed under the name Rattus norvegicus (Norway rat). Lineage: Eukaryota; Metazoa; Chordata; Mammalia; Rodentia; Muridae. The record is from RNAcentral.
UAAAAAGUUCUAUUUGAUUACUUGAAUGAA